GACGAACGCUGGCGGCGUGCCUAAUACAUGCAAGUCGAGCGAAGUUUUUCUGGUGCUUGCACCGGAAAAACUUAGCGGCGAACGGGUGAGUAACACGUAAAGAACCUGCCUUAUAGACUGGGACAACUAUUGGAAACGAUAGCUAAUACCGGAUAACAGCAUUAACUGCAUGGUUGAUGUUUGAAAGUUGGUUUUGCUAACACUAUGAGAUGGCUUUGCGGUGCAUUAGCUAGUUGGUGGGGUAAAGGCCUACCAAGGCGACGAUGCAUAGCCGACCUGAGAGGGUGAUCUGCCACACUGGGACUGAGACACGGCCCAGACUCCUACGGGAGGCAGCAGUAGGGAAUCUUCCGCAAUGGGCGAAAGCCUGACGGAGCAACGCCGCGUGAGUGAAGAAGGAUUUCGGUUCGUAAAGCUCUGUUGUUAGGGAAGAAUGAUUGUGUAGUAACUAUACACAGUAGAGACGGUACCUAACCAGAAAGCCACGGCUAACUACGUG
Molecule: ribosomal RNA, 499 nt
Filed under: uncultured bacterium
Lineage: Bacteria
Description: partial 16S ribosomal RNA
Rfam family: Bacterial small subunit ribosomal RNA
Source: RNAcentral